GGGGACAACAGCUGGAAACGGCUGCUAAUACCGAAUACGUUCUUUUUUGUCGCAUGGGCAGAGGGGAAAGAAAGGGGAGGCUCUUCGGAGCUUUCGCUGAAGGAGGGGCUUGCGUCUGAUUAGCUAGUUGGAGGGGUAACGGCCCACCAAGGCGACGAUCAGUAGCCGGUCUGAGAGGAUGAACGGCCACAUUGGGACUGAGACACGGCCCAGACUCCUACGGGAGGCAGCAGUGGGGAAUAUUGGGCAAUGGACGCAAGUCUGACCCAGCAACGCCGCGUGAAGGAAGAAGGCUUUCGGGUUGUAAACUUCUUUUACCAGGGACGAAGGACGUGACGGUACCUGGAGAAAAAGCCACGGCUAACUACGUG
RNAcentral lists this ribosomal RNA (371 nucleotides) under uncultured bacterium. RNAcentral's name for it is "bacterial SSU rRNA". It matches the Rfam family "Bacterial small subunit ribosomal RNA", at positions 139 to 507 of the family's 1533-position model. The record is from RNAcentral.